Clupea harengus (Atlantic herring) is the source of this 803-nucleotide long non-coding RNA. RefSeq lists it as uncharacterized. NCBI's taxonomy places the organism in Eukaryota, Metazoa, Chordata, Actinopteri, Clupeiformes, Clupeidae. The record is from RefSeq and is a predicted model, not a curated record.
ACAUGUGGCUUUCAUACACCAUAUCUUGACUAAAACUGACUAAAAUACAAUGACCAAGACCAAAUUAGUGGUGUGAAGUCUAAACUUCCUUUUUUUUCACCAUUCUGUUUAGCUGUACUUCCCCUUUUUUUGUAGAUGUUUGCCUUUGAUCCACAACAACAUCUAUGAACCCAGCUCAACUAUAAGACAUCUGUAGGGAGGACAUGGACAAUUAUUUCAUUCAUGCAGGAAGAUUCAAAAUUACAAGAGCCCCACCACUGCCAUGGGUUUUUGGUCCAGGUUAUCGAUACUUCUUGUUCGUCAUUUGGAUGUCCUAUAUUAUGGUCAUAUUUACUCUAACAUAUCUGAAAAUGAGAAUAGAAGAAACCAUGGAUAGAGUCAAUACACUGAUGCAAGGAAAUGUGACUUCAGCAGAGGAAGAUGCAGAGGGGAAUGAUGACUAUUGUGAAGUUGAAGAAAUACCUGAAUAAUUGCAUUUUUUUGAUAAUCACUAACUGAGGGCCAAACUGAUGUUGUGAAAGAAUGUGAAUAUAUGUUUAAGACAUUAAAAAAAAAAUGUCUGAGACAAUUAGCGACCAACAACUGUCUGACUCAACAACAUUUUAACGUUGGCCUCACCUAAUACAUACAGCGUUUUGGAUAAAAAGAGCACGUCCGUUAUGUCCUUGAAGUAUUCAUAUUUCUAUUUGCUACCUCGAGCAUUUUGUGAUCUAUUUAAAUACCAGUGAGGAUUCUGAUACUGGAUUUGGCUCAUUUGAUAUGUAGUUGAAGAUAACAUGAUUACCACAGAUGUUUCAGAACAG